GUGGAGUGCUUCCUUCACUAUAAGUUGAGGUUGGCAUGCUAGUACCGUCAGCAAUUGGAGGAGAUGAACUGGCUUGAGAAUAAGUGGUCACAGGUGUGCUGGUGUCAACAGGAGUUGUUGAAAGGGUGCUGAUUGCAGAACUGGUCACCGGUGUGGUGCUGACAGGCACACCUGUUAAUGGAGUGCUUCCUUCACUAUAAGUUGAGAUUGGCAUGCUGGUACCUUCAGCAGGUGUAGGAGAUGAACUGACUUCAGUAGAAGUGAUCACAGGACUGUUGGAGUCAACAGGAGUUGUUGAAAGGGUGCUAGCCUCAGGACUGGCCACCGG
RNAcentral lists this long non-coding RNA (328 nucleotides) under Homo sapiens (human). RNAcentral's name for it is "HSALNT0126509". The record is from RNAcentral. Lineage: Eukaryota; Metazoa; Chordata; Mammalia; Primates; Hominidae.